This 440-nucleotide ribosomal RNA is filed under the name uncultured bacterium. RNAcentral's name for it is "partial 16S ribosomal RNA". It matches the Rfam family "Bacterial small subunit ribosomal RNA", at positions 338 to 795 of the family's 1533-position model. The record is from RNAcentral.
CCUACGGGUGGCAGCAGUGGGGAAUAUUGCACAAUGGGGGAAACCCUGAUGCAGCGACGCCGCGUGAGUGAAGAAGUAAUUCGUUAUGUAAAGCUCUAUCAGCAGGGAAGAAAAUGACGGUACCUGAGUAAGAAGCCCCGGCUAACUACGUGCCAGCAGCCGCGGUAAUACGUAGGGGGCAAGCGUUAUCCGGAUUUACUGGGUGUAAAGGGAGCGUAGACGGGAGGGCAAGUCUGGAGUGAAAGGCGGGGGCUCAACCCUGGGACUGCUCUUGAAACUGUACGGCUGGAGUGCAGGAGGGGUAAGUGGAAUUGCUAGUGUAGCGGUGAAAUGCGUAGAUAUUAGGAGGAACACCAGUGGAGAGGGAGGAUUACUGGACUGUAACUGACGUUGAGGCUGGAAAGCGUGGGGAGCAAACAGGAGUAGAUACCCUAGUAGUC